Molecule: ribosomal RNA, 270 nt
Filed under: uncultured bacterium
Lineage: Bacteria
Description: partial 16S ribosomal RNA
Rfam family: Bacterial small subunit ribosomal RNA
Source: RNAcentral
UAUAGCUUAGUGGCGGACGGGUGAGUAACGCGUGAGCAACCUGCCUUUCAGAGGGGGAUAACGUUUGGAAACGAACGCUAAUACCGCAUAAGACCACACUUCCACAUGGGAGAGGGGUCAAAGGAGCAAUCCGCUGAAAGAUGGGCUCGCGUCCGAUUAGAUAGUUGGGGGGGUAACGGCCCACCAAGUCGACGAUCGGUAGCCGGACUGAGAGGUUGAACGGCCACAUUGGGACUGAGACACGGCCCAGACUCCUACGGGAGGCAGCAG